This 5352-nucleotide long non-coding RNA is filed under the name Mus musculus (house mouse). RNAcentral describes it as "SIX homeobox 3, opposite strand 1, transcript variant 1 (Six3os1)". The record is from RNAcentral. Lineage: Eukaryota; Metazoa; Chordata; Mammalia; Rodentia; Muridae.
AAAACCCUCGCCACUCAUGAAGAACUGAGGCAAAAGGAUCACAGAUGCUGCUCGGGGCCAGCCCUAUACUCCCUCCAGUGCCUGGUCUCCGGUGGACCCGCGGGGCUCUGCAGUUCUCUGGCGGCCGCGCCUUGUAAGCGCUAAGCCGGGAGGAGGGCGCAGGCAGGGCGCACAGCUCUGAGCGCGACCCUACCCGGCUCGGGCCCGCAGCAACCCCGACUGUCCGAGAGCCUCUCCCCAAGCAAGGCUCUGCGCCGCCCUCUGAGCCCACCUCCUGGCCACAACGCUGCCUGCGCUUCUCCAGCCCAGGCCGGAAGCCCUAUGCUGCCUCCCGAAGCCGGACUUUCUGGAAGCCCAUCUUCGUAUGCUCACCAGCCCACCCUCCUACGCUGGUCAGAGUGAGAUUGCUAACCUCAAGACCCCAUUCAAUGCCAGCUUUCAACUACUGCUGAAGACCAAUGUAGGUCCUGGAAUAGAAGAACUGCAGAGUAUCCGGAGCUGGCCGACCCCAGACUGAUUCUCAACAGGUGGCUGGGUAGUGCCCCCCACCCUGUGUUGGUCGUGCGGGACCCAUCGCACACAGAGAAGCCACCUUACCCCUCACCUCACCCCGUCGGCCAAAGACUGACCACCCGCGCCCGAGUGUGGGGAGGGGUGGGAAUUCCGGAUCACACACACACACACACACACACACACACACCAGGGUAGGGGAACAGGGAAGAUCUUACCUGCAGAAAGGUAAGAGAAGCCGGGAGCGUGUAGCAGCGGCGGAUAAAUAUUCAUUAGGAAGUGUAAGUCCUUUCAAAGGGCUCCGCGCGCGCGCUCUAGCUCCUGUCUCUCUUUCUCUCCCUCCCUCUGUCCUCCAGGAAGGCUUCCCCUCCUCUAGCUAUCUCAACGCCCCCCCCCCCUUCCUGCGAAAUACCGGGUGGAUCCUAGGCUAGCUAACCUGUUGGGAAGCCUGAACUGCGGUAGCGCCUCUGCAGCUAGCAGUUUGCUUUCGCUCCUGGGGCGCGCGUCCCCCCCCAUCCCCUCCCCUCCUUCCUUUCGCCCAGCCCCUCACCCCUCCUAAAUCACUACAUCAUUAGCUUUAUUGGGCGGGGGGGGGGCGGGUAACGGAGCAGCCAGACGCACCUCUCCAUAGAAGGGUGAAUAGUUGGUGCCCUGCGAUGCAACCCCAACUCCAUCUCCACCUCAUUCUCACCCAUCUGCACAUCCUCAUCCAAUCUUGCUUCUUUUUCUUCGCUCUUUCCACCUCCACCUCCAUCCUGUGUCAACCUAACUCCCUCAGCAGCCCUCCCACCCGCCGCCGCCAAUCCGGAUCACAGAUUGGGUUGGGAGUGAGAUUGCAAGGCUGUUAGGUCCGAAGGUCCUGUGUGUCGAGGUUAGAACUCCUCCCUGGCGUGAGUACGGGGUGGUUAUCAAGAUCUCCUUCUCCUUCCUGACCCUGCAAGGUUACCAAACAGCCUGGACUUUUGAAUCAGAUCUCUGGAGCAAGCAUUAAGAACUCCAGCCACACAGAUCUCAGGGCCUGGCCCUUUCACUCAGCCGCGGAGGCUGCUUGAGGGAUGGGGAGAGGUGAUUUCACUCAGCGCCAACGCGCAGGAAAAACUCAUAGACGACAGUCGGACUAAUACUCGUCCCUUAAGAAUGCACUACCUGAAGUUAGUCGCAAGUCAUCUUCAAUCGAGGAAAGGAAAAAAAAAAUCCUCACAUCUAGAAGCUUCGCCGAAGCCACUUCCAACAGCACGCGAACAUGUUCGCGCACACCCUUCUCUGUGCACGCCCCAAAGCCUGCUCUCUCGCGGGCAGGUGAAAAUACAGGCUGCCCAGGCCAGAGGAGAGAAGGCGGCGGAGGAAUACAUCGCUUAGGGUUGUUGAGAAACUAGGAAUAACUGUUUUCAAUACUCUGCUCUGCUACCAGGACCUUAGGUCCCUCUUGGGACCCUGAAAAGUGGCUUUGCCCCACGAUGGGGGGUGGGGGGGCAGUGACUCUAGCUCUGGCCCUCCUACUGGGAGCUUAAAGUUGGGGUGAAGGGUUUAAGGAGGAGCCGAGGGGGCGGGCCCUGUUAGUUUGCAGUUGUAAGUGCAGCUGUGCCUGGGACACCAAGAAGGAGAGUCUCGCCCCCUAAUGCUCACGGUGCUUGCUUAGAGGACCCCCGAGGUUAACUACCGGAGCUUCUGCUCUCUCCUGAGCCCCAGGCCAACACAGGACGAUGGUGGCCGGGAUGCCAGCCGGGAUGCCUAAACACAGUAAGACUUCAGUUGCCUCUCAUUUGGCUGUUCAGAGCUAAUGUCUACCAGAGGAGGUUUUAGAAGUGGGUCGCACCCGUCCUGAAUCCAUCCUGUGAGGUGGCAGAGGGUCAGAGGGUCACUCCUUCUUGUUAAAGGUUAGCAUAAUAAGUAUUAUUAUUACUAGGGUAGAGGAAGAUGUGGAGGAAAAAAAAAGCCUAGGGUGCCUAGGACACUAACCAACCUUACAGCUUACCCAAAGUCCAGAACCUCCCAUUGUACACCUUCUCUCCCCAACACAGAUCCCUAAGGUCUCCUCUUCAUCUGGCAUGUGUGUUCACAGAAGGUACAGUGUGCGAGAACACACUUAGGAAAUUUUAGGAACGCUAACCACAGUACUGGAGGAAUAAAGAUGUGUCGAAGGAAUGGAUGGAAUGCAUGAACACAUACACCUUGUUGUCCAGAUGCAGACAAAAGCUACCAUGUCCGCUUGGAGUGACGCCCAGACACGCACAGAGAUGUACAGGAAGCCAAGGAGAGUGGGAUCCACCAGAGUACAGUACAAGUACAGAGUACAGUGCAAGAUGCCCAGUGGCCCUGGAGAAAAACCUUCGUUGACUCUUCUGUAUGGAAAGUUUCUGAAGAAAGGGCCAAGGAAUGAUCUGCCCCAGAGGCUGCCUUUAGGCUCCCAUACCUGCUCUGUUUGGAGACACCCAGAAGAGGCCAGUACAGCAAAGACUCUUUUUGGUUUGGUUAUUUCUGUUGCUUGUUGUCUUUUUUUCAUCCUUUGCCUGGGAAAUUGUGCUCUGGAAUAGGGCUUGAGUAGACAGCACAGGCCUCCAGUAGAUAACAAGAGAUUCUCAAUCUCCAAUGAGGACAUUCCGUUCUAAGGAAGCUUCCAGAUAGGGGAAAGCCCUGUUUUGUCCCCCUUUUCUCCUCUGAGAUCUGAAAAAAUAGAAAGAAAAAAAAAGAAAAACAAAACAAAUAUAAAAACUAUAGCCCAAUCCCAUGUACAUCAAAUAAAUCCACAAGGAAUAUGCUAGAUCAAGCUAAAUUAUGUAUUUAACUCAUUUUCUUUUGUGAGAUACUGAGAAGUCUUCAACUUCCUCUAUUCCAGGCAGGGAUCGAGGACCUGGCCUGGCAGAGGUUCCACCACCAGGGUUUCCCACAGUGGUUCUGGGACUAGGCGUAAGGUGUCCUGACUUGUUUUCUCUGUCACCUCUUCUGGGGAACUGGGGAACUGUCCCAGACAAUGGCUGCCCCAGUUCCCUCUAGAAGAGACAGCCCCCACCCCCAGAACCCGUUGCCCUCCAACCUCACCUCAUUUUCUCUUGAGCUCAUUCUCCGAGCUCUUAAAGUAGUAGGUGUGAGUCUUGGACCAUUUCUUUAAAAGAAACAACUAAGGAAAGGGAGGGAGGGGAGGAGGGAGGAGGGGAGCGGGAAGGAGAGCUACCUCCUAGACUAACGCGUCCAGGAACCACUCUCUAAGGAGCAAAAGAGAGCCUGUGUUGUAAAGUAGAAGUGAUCCCCCGACAUUGCUGCAGGGCGCCUUGCAACAGAUGUAACUGUCCACUGAAGAGACAGAGGGUGGGCAUGGGGAAGAUUUUUUUUCCUCCCUUUUGUGAACAGCUCUUACACUUUUCCAAGACACAUUGAGUUCCUGGACAUUUUUGUGAAUUUGUUCUUGAUUGUGUUUUGAACAAUAAACUGUGAAAAUCAACUUCAAGCCCACACAAUCAGAAUCUUUCUUGGGAGGGCAGGUUCUUUCAGCGCUGUUUUUCUCCAGGUCGCUUUUAUCUUACCCCCAAUGGGAGUCACCUGCUGAUGCUCCUCGGGAGGAGACUGUAACUGAAAGACGGAAGUGAAUGCAGACACAGCAUCCUCUGAGCCAAACCGUUGCUUUGGUUCCUUCUAGCUUAGGAUGCCGAACACUGGCUGGCUUUGAACACCCUCUACUUCGCUAAGAAGUUUAGAGCCUUUCUCACAACAAACCACAGCGUUUUAGAACUGGAAAUGUUUCUUCUGAUUUUCCAGUCUUAGGACAAUUUUCGAACUCUAACUUAAAAAAAAAUUUGUUUAUGGGGGUUUAGCUAGAACACUUGUAGCAUUCGCUUCUCAAGGAAAGAUCAACUGUUUUCUCAUAACCCCAACUGCUCCACACACUUCAUAGGAUAUAAUGUAUUUUCUUUACUUAUCCUUGUGCCUUCUGCCCAGGACAUAGAACUAGGGGCAAAACUUUGGAGGUCUAUGACCUCUUGAUAGCACCUGUAAUUGUUAGGCUUUUGUUCUUGUGCCUUGUAAAUCUCUCAUGUACGUCUAUGAAAAUAUGCAUUGCAUGGGUGUGAUCCUAUCAAGUUGUCCACACUUUCUCAACAACCACUGAUGAGUGAAACCAUUUCUAUUGCCCAGGGCAAAGGGCUAAUCGCCUUGUGGGUCUAGAGUUGUCAUAGGAUAAUAUCCGGUGUGUGUGUGAUAUGACAGUUAUUACUUUCAAGAAUAAAUUAAAAUAACCAGAUACCCCUUUAAUACUUUCCUCAACAGCGUCAAUGCUCUAGAGAUGGGACCUCGCCUUCCAAGGUGUCUUCACUAUCACAGGGCCCGGGCUCUCUGCCUCAGCCCAACCCUGGGCUUGCGCUCAGAGAGGAGGUAUUCCGACGGAAAAAAAUCCCAUACAUUUUUAACUACAGUGAUUACUAAAUUAAUAGCAGGCACCAAGACAGAUGUCAAAACGUCUUGAAAAUGUUUAUCUGUGAAUAAUUGAGAAGGUAGUGGGACGCAUUAUCUGAUUGUGUAAUGAAAUAUGUAUGAGGAACAGCUGUUUGCAGCAGCCCCUUCCCCUUGCCGCCUUAGCCAGGGCCCUUCUCUCGCAAGCUUUCUUCUACUUUCUUCCACCUUUUUCUUCCUUCUACUUUCUAGUUCGCUCUCUUCUUCCUUAACUGCUCGCACGGCUUUGGCUGCAGUGAACCCAGAGUCGCCUGGUUCUCUGAUGAAGGUUAGCCACAAGGUUUCCUCUAAGCCUUGCUGGAUUGGCGUUCCGUAGUGGGAUGAGGCUUCGUUGUCUGCUGUUCUGGCCAUCGCGCCUUCCGGCCAGGCUGCCCGCUGGGUCUCCAUGGAGUCUGCGGG